CAGGUUAAAGACAGGCAUAAAGCUUUGAAGAGUCUAAAUCUUAGAUUAUAAAGAUUAUAAAUUUUAGGAGGACAAGGACAGCUGCUGUCUGUACGGCAGCAGUGCCCUGCAGGCAAGGGGCAGCUUCUGCCUGCAAUGGCACCGAUCCACCUCCAUCCCCGGCACUGCCGCUGGCAGGGCAGCCCCGUGGUUCCCCAAACAGCUGCAGGAGGGGCUGGGCAGCCUGGGGAGCUCCCUGUGGGUGACUUGGGAAUGCCAAUGCACCAGGCUGAGCAACUCAAGGGAAGGGAACACGAUAGGAAACGGUAGGAAAUGGAUGAUUUGCCUGUUCCUUUCAGCGCUGGAGCUCAUGCACUCACAAGGUGGCUGUGCAGUGGCCGCAGGCUGUGCUGCUGGGGUCACGGAGCCAGGUCUGCCCCUCGCAGUGUGGGGCAGCGCUCUGGGGCAGCGCACAGCCCAGAGGGUGCUGUGUAGGUGCCCCUGCCGAGGCACUGUGGAUGAGUGCCAGCACACACCAGAGUCAGGCAUGUGAGCUGGGCUGCCCCUGGCCGAACCGUGGGCUGCGUGCCCUCUGCCACCACCGCUGGGACCACCCGCUGCAGCAGGCGCGAGCGCUCCCACCCCGGCCCUGCCCGCCAGCCCCACUGCCUGAGGCAGACCAUGGGGUGCUGACAUGCCAGGGCUGAAUGCGAAGCGCGGGGGCAUCGGCACGAGCCGUGGCAGCAUCUGUGCUGGCUGGAGCCCGCCCCAGGCAGCGGAGCCCUGCUGCGAGGACACCGUGGCACACAGGCAGCACCAGCCACCCAGAUCUGCCUGUCCUAAAUCCCAAGCAGAUGGUGCAACUCAGCCCGUCUCCUCCAGCAAGGAUGAUCCCUGGGGCCUCCCUGCAGAGAGUGUACAUUUCAAAGGAUAAUUCCAGCAGCACUCCUUACCCUGAUCUGGAGGCUUCUGAGCAUCUAUGUACUUCAUCAUUCUUCACAUAUACCUGCCCCUGCCUCGCACCAUCUCCCACUGGGGCUUGCUUUUCUCUUCUAAAAGGCCACUAAAACUCCUACCUACCUGCCAGCAAGUGCCAAUUUUUCUUAAUGAUUUGCAGAGGGAAUCUACACCUUCAGAAGUACAAUGUAUAUGAAACCAGGACAGACUCGGAGUUUUAAGCAUCCAGCUCACUAAUGACUUGUUAUAAAUGUUUUCCAAACUGCUUUGUGUCUCUGGGAGGUGAGAAUUAUCACUGUAUCUCAGUAAAAAUGAAUAUAAAAUAGGAGCAGCAUGCUGCACACUUCACAUUAAAUGCUCACAAAUAAACCAUUUGCCAUUCUGAUGUCA
RNAcentral lists this long non-coding RNA (1326 nucleotides) under Anas platyrhynchos platyrhynchos (common mallard). RNAcentral describes it as "lncRNA (ENSAPLG00000031219.1)". The record is from RNAcentral. Lineage: Eukaryota; Metazoa; Chordata; Aves; Anseriformes; Anatidae.